GGGGAAUAUUGCACAAUGGGCCCAAGCCUGAUGCAGCCAUGCCGCGUGUAUGAAGAAGGCCUUCGGGUUGUAAAGUACUUUCAGCGGGGAGGAAGGUGUUGUGGUUAAUAACCGCAGCAAUUGACGUUACCCGCAGAAGAAGCACCGGCUCACUCCUUGCCAGCAGCCGCGGUAAUACGGAGGGUGCAAGCGUUAAUCGGAAUUACUGGGCGUAAAGCGCACGCAGGCGGUCUGUCAAGUCGGAUGUGAAAUCCCCGAGCUUAACUUGGGAAUUGCAUUCGAUACUGGGAAGCUAGAGUAUGGGAGAGGAUGGUAGAAUUCCAGGUGUAGCGGUGAAAUGCGUAGAGAUCUGGAGGAAUACCGGUGGCGAAGGCGGCCCCCUGGACAAGGACUGACGCUCAGGUGCGAAAGCGUGGGGAGCAAACA
This 426-nucleotide ribosomal RNA is filed under the name uncultured Enterobacteriaceae bacterium. RNAcentral's name for it is "bacterial SSU rRNA". It matches the Rfam family "Bacterial small subunit ribosomal RNA", at positions 356 to 774 of the family's 1533-position model. The record is from RNAcentral. Lineage: Bacteria; Pseudomonadati; Pseudomonadota; Gammaproteobacteria; Enterobacterales; Enterobacteriaceae.